ACGGGUGUAGCUCAAUUGGUAGAGCACUGGUCUCCAAAACCAGGGGCUGUGGGUUCGAUUCCUACCACCCGUG
This 73-nucleotide transfer RNA is filed under the name Salibacteraceae bacterium. Its description in RNAcentral is "tRNA-Trp". It matches the Rfam family "tRNA". Rfam says of the family: Transfer RNA (tRNA) molecules are approximately 80 nucleotides in length. Their secondary structure includes four short double-helical elements and three loops (D, anti-codon, and T loops). Further hydrogen bonds mediate the characteristic L-shaped molecular structure. tRNAs have two regions of fundamental functional importance: the anti-codon, which is responsible for specific mRNA codon recognition, and the 3' end, to which the tRNAs corresponding amino acid is attached (by aminoacyl-tRNA synthetases). tRNAs cope with the degeneracy of the genetic code in two manners: having more than one tRNA (with a specific anti-codon) for a particular amino acid; and 'wobble' base-pairing, i.e. permitting non-standard base-pairing at the 3rd anti-codon position. Lineage: Bacteria; Pseudomonadati; Bacteroidota; Flavobacteriia; Flavobacteriales; Salibacteraceae. The record is from RNAcentral.